AAAUUGAAGAGUUUGAUCAUGGCUCAGAUUGAACGCUGGCGGCAGGCCUAACACAUGCAAGUCGAACGGUAACAGGAAACAGCUUGCUGCUUUGCUGACGAGUGGCGGACGGGUGAGUAAUGUCUGGGAAACUGCCUGAUGGAGGGGGAUAACUACUGGAAACGGUGGCUAAUACCGCAUAAUGUCGCAAGACCAAAGAGGGGGACCUUCGGGCCUCUUGCCAUCAGAUGUGCCCAGAUGGGAUUAGCUGGUUGGUGAGGUAACGGCUCACCAAGGCGACGAUCCCUAGCUGGUCUGAGAGGAUGACCAGCCACACUGGAACUGAGACACGGUCCAGACUCCUACGGGAGGCAGCAGUG
This 359-nucleotide ribosomal RNA is filed under the name Salmonella enterica subsp. enterica serovar Havana. RNAcentral describes it as "bacterial SSU rRNA". It matches the Rfam family "Bacterial small subunit ribosomal RNA", at positions 1 to 356 of the family's 1533-position model. Lineage: Bacteria; Pseudomonadati; Pseudomonadota; Gammaproteobacteria; Enterobacterales; Enterobacteriaceae. The record is from RNAcentral.